AUUGAACGCUGGCGGCAUGCCUAACACAUGCAAGUCGAACGGCAGCAUAGUAUGUACUUGUACAUAUGGGUGGCGAGUGGCGAACGGGUGAGUAAUGCGCAGGAAUAUACCUUAAAGAGGGGGAUAACUUGGGGAAACACAAGCUAAUACCGCAUGUACUCUAAGGAGUGAAGCUGGGGACCUUCGGGCCUGGCGCUUUAAGAAUAGCCUGCGUCCGAUUAGCUAGUUGGUGGGGUAAAGGCCUACCAAGGCGACGAUCGGUAGCUGGUCUGAGAGGAUGGACAGCCACACUGGGACUGAGACACGGCCCAGACUCCUACGGGAGGCAGCAGUGGGGAAUAUUGGACAAUGGGGGCAACCCUGAUCCAGCAAUGCCGCGUGUGUGAAGAAGGCCUUAUGGUUGUAAAGCACUUUAAGCGAGGAGGAGGCUCUUUUGGUUAAUACCCAAGAUGAGUGGACGUUACUCGCAGAAUAAGCACCGGCUAACUCUGUGCCAGCCGCCGCCGUAA
Molecule: ribosomal RNA, 509 nt
Filed under: uncultured bacterium
Lineage: Bacteria
Description: partial 16S ribosomal RNA
Rfam family: Bacterial small subunit ribosomal RNA
Source: RNAcentral